RNAcentral lists this ribosomal RNA (1600 nucleotides) under human gut metagenome. Its description in RNAcentral is "bacterial LSU rRNA". It matches the Rfam family "Bacterial large subunit ribosomal RNA", at positions 1326 to 2925 of the family's 2925-position model. The record is from RNAcentral.
AAACCCCCUCGCCGAAAGACUAAGGUUUCCUGAUCAACGCUAAUCGGAUCAGGGUAAGUCGGGUCCUAAGGCUCAGCCGAACGGCGAGGCCGAUGGCAGAACCGGUUAAUAUUCCGGUACUACCUGUGGGAGUGACGUGGAGACGGAGUCGUGACAGCGCCGCGGACUGACGGAAUAGUCCGUUGAAGGGUGUAGAUGCUGAUUGUUCCAGGCAAAUCCGGAGCAAGAGUCGAACCUGAUAGUAUGGAGCGUUCUUAGAACAAUCCAAUAGUGCGUGUAAUCAUACUUCCAAGAAAAUCCGCUAAACUUAAUCCUGCAGGUACCCGUACCGCAAACGGACACACGUAGUCGGGUUGAAUAUACUAAGGCGCUUGAGUGAUUCACGGUUAAGGAACUAGGCAAACUGACCCUGUAACUUCGGGAUAAAGGGUCCUCGCUUAACGGCGAGGCGCAGAGAAUAGGUCCAGGCAACUGUUUAACAAAAACACAGGGCUGUGCAAAAUUGAAAGAUGAAGUAUACAGCCUGACACCUGCCCGGUGCUGGAAGGUUAAGAGGAGAUGUCAUCGCAAGAGAAGCAUUGAAUUGAAGCCCCAGUAAACGGCGGCCGUAACUAUAACGGUCCUAAGGUAGCGAAAUUCCUUGUCAGGUAAGUUCUGACCCGCAUGAAAGGCGUAAUGAUUUGGGCACUGUCUCAACAGCCCGCCCGGCGAAAUUGUAGUACCGGUGAAGAUGCCGGUUACCCGCGACAAGACGGAAAGACCCCAUGGAGCUUUACUGUAGCCUAAUAUUGGGUUUCGAUGUUGCAUGCACAGGAUAGAUGGGACACAGGGAAACAAUCGCUUUGGCGGUUGCGGAGUGGCCGUUGGGAUACCAUCCUUGCGAUAUUGGAAUUCUAACCUGCGGCUCUGAAUCGAGUCGGGGGACAUUGUUAGGUGGGCAGUUUGACUGGGGCGGUCGCCUCCUAAAAAGUAACGGAGGCGUUCAAAGGUUCGCUCAGCUUGAACGGAAAUCAAGCAAAAGAGUGCAAACGCAGAAGCGAGCCUAACUGCGAGACUGACGGGUCGAGCAGUAACGAAAGUUGGAGUUAGUGAUCCGGUGGUAUGUGAGUGGAAAUGCCAUCGCUCAACGGAUAAAAGUUACCCUGGGGAUAACAGGCUGAUCUCCCCCAAGAGUCCACAUCGACGGGGAGGUUUGGCACCUCGAUGUCGGCUCAUCGCAUCCUGGGGCUGUAUUCGGUCCCAAGGGUUUGGCUGUUCGCCAAUUAAAGCGGUACGCGAGCUGGGUUCAGAACGUCGUGAGACAGUUCGGUCCCUAUCUGUCGUGGGCGCAGGAUAUUUGAUGGGAGCUGUCCCUAGUACGAGAGGACCGGGACGGACGUACCUCUGGCGCACCAGUUGUUCCGCCAGGAGCAUAGCUGGGCAACUACGUACGGAUCGGAUAAACGCUGAAAGCAUCUAAGCGUGAAGCCGACCCAAAGAUAAGAUAUCCCACUGAUUUGAUCAGGUAAGACCCCUUGAAGACUACAAGGUCGAUAGGCACGAUGUGUAAGUGGAGCGAUCCAUUCAGCAAGCGUGUACUAAUAGGUCGAGGGCUUGACCA